GACGAACGCUGGCGGCGUGCUUAACACAUGCAAGUCGAACGAAGAGCGAUGGAAGCUUGCUUCUAUCAAUCUUAGUGGCGAACGGGUGAGUAACGCGUAAUCAACCUGCCCUUCAGAGGGGGACAACAGUUGGAAACGACUGCUAAUACCGCAUACGAUCUAACCUCGGCAUCGAGGAUAGAUGAAAGGUGGCCUCUACAUGUAAGCUAUCACUGAAGGAGGGGAUUGCGUCUGAUUAGCUAGUUGGAGGGGUAACGGCCCACCAAGGCGAUGAUCAGUAGCCGGUCUGCGAGGAUGAACGGCCACAUUGGGACUGAGACACGGCCCAGACUCCUACGGGAGGCAGCAGUGGGGAAUCUUCCGCAAUGGACGAAAGUCUGACGGAGCAACGCCGCGUGAGUGAUGACGGCCUUCGGGUUGUAAAGCUCUGUUAAUCGGGACGAAAGGCCUUCUUGCGAAUAGUUAGAAGGAUUGACGGUACCGGAAUAGAAAGCCACGGCUAACUACGUG
RNAcentral lists this ribosomal RNA (510 nucleotides) under uncultured bacterium. RNAcentral's name for it is "partial 16S ribosomal RNA". It matches the Rfam family "Bacterial small subunit ribosomal RNA", at positions 28 to 507 of the family's 1533-position model. The record is from RNAcentral.